AUACAUUUCUCAACCUUUUGACUAUGAUAAAGUGUAUUAUUUGUUCUUAUUAGUUUAAUAUCUAAUAUGUGAACCAUAUGUCCGCUAAGGGGAUGCUUG
RNAcentral lists this small nuclear RNA (99 nucleotides) under Zea mays. RNAcentral describes it as "U2 spliceosomal RNA". It matches the Rfam family "U2 spliceosomal RNA". From Rfam's summary of the family: U2 is a small nuclear RNA (snRNA) component of the spliceosome (involved in pre-mRNA splicing). Complementary binding between U2 snRNA (in an area lying towards the 5' end but 3' to hairpin I) and the branchpoint sequence (BPS) of the intron results the bulging out of an unpaired adenosine, on the BPS, which initiates a nucleophilic attack at the intronic 5' splice site, thus starting the first of two transesterification reactions that mediate splicing. Lineage: Eukaryota; Viridiplantae; Streptophyta; Magnoliopsida; Poales; Poaceae. The record is from Rfam by way of RNAcentral.